UACGUAGGGUGCGAGCGUUAAUCGGAAUUACUGGGCGUAAAGCGUGCGCAGGCGGUUUUGUAAGCCAGAUGUGAAAUCCCCGGGCUUAACCUGGGAAUGGCAUUUGGGACUGCAAGGCUGGAGUGUGGCAGAGGAGACUGGAAUUCCCGGUGUAGCAGUGAAAUGCGUAGAUAUCGGGAGGAACAUCUGUGGCGAAGGCGACACCCUGGACCAGCACUGACACUGAGGCACGAAAGCGUGGGGAGCAAACAGG
RNAcentral lists this ribosomal RNA (253 nucleotides) under uncultured bacterium. RNAcentral's name for it is "partial 16S ribosomal RNA". It matches the Rfam family "Bacterial small subunit ribosomal RNA", at positions 524 to 776 of the family's 1533-position model. The record is from RNAcentral.